AAAAAAAUCUUUUUCUACAUUUCUACUUCUCUGUGAUAACUAGCUGGAGUGUAGGAGUAUUUCAUUAAAAAAUAAAUGGAGACAGAAGAACUUCCUAUUCGAGUCUAUCAGUGAUUAAAUGAAUUUGACAUUUUUAUCUUGAAUGAAAGUGAAUUUCAAGUGCUACUGUGAAGAACUCUCACCAAGCAUAUAAUUGGAGCUUGUCAAACAAAAACUUCCUUCUAUUGCUGUUUAAAAAAUAAAAAUCAGGUCAUCUUCUAAAUUAAAGCAAAACUGAAACAAAUGGCAAACAAAAAUCAACAAAAAGACAGGAUUUGUAACUAAAAGAAAGCUGCCUAUUCUGUUUUUUAUGUACAGAAAUAUUCUGAAAAGUGUACAAAUGCCAUAAAUUUUUUUUCAAAUCUGGCUGUUCUGUACAAUCUCUAUUCCUCUGUCACAGUAUCCACUGGUCUCUCUUAGCUUAUGCUGUGGUAUUAAAGACCCUAAAAGUCAGUUGGUUUUGCAACAAACAUGUAAAGUGCUUUCUUUCUGCAUUAAAAAUGACCUAAGAAAAUUUUUUUGCCUAUAAAGAGAAAUUUUGGGGGUUACCUGUUGGAGGUUUAACAGGAGAAACCAAGAAAAAAAAAUUAUCAAAGCAUUAAGUCAGUAAUUAGAUAUCUGUGUUUACAGUACUAUCCAGGUUUAUGUGUAAUCCCAACCCCUUUUUUUUGUGUCUGGUGUAAACAAGUGGGGUCCUGCAGCAGUGCAGGGCUGGAUGAACAACAAUAAAAUGGUCCUCAUCAUAGCCAAUAAUUUGGCUUUUGAUGCUACUCUAACCACAAACAGUGGUGUAAGGACGUUCUCAUGCUUGCAUGAGCUCUGCAGUGGCAUUUUUCCAUUGUCACAACUGUUUUUAAAAAAAACCAACAAAAUCUUUCUUGGCAUUCAGUCAGUUUUACCUGACUAUAUUUGCAUGCAAUGAUUUUGCCUCCAUCUUUUAUCACAUAUGCUGUAAUAUUAUAGUGCUGGAGCUCAGGGUGUUUGUUUGUUUGAGCAGAAGACAAAAAAAAAUGCAAAAGCCAACUGAUAGGGUAAAAAAUGCACCCUUCAUCCCACAGAUCUGUGUCAUAUUAUUAUGUAGAGAUCGUUGUUUUUUCUCUCCAACCCUUGAAUUUAUCAUUUCCCUCUCUAGCUCUUUCCAUCAAUAUCCAUGGAUUUUGUUUCCCUCUUCUCCUCCCAUAUUGCCAUUUUAAACGUUUGUCCUGUGUUUGUAUGGGAAUUCUAGGAAGCACUCAUGUAGUUUAGGAUCCUCUGGGAACUUUUUAACAUUGUGUGCUCCUGUUUGAAGGCUUAGCUGAAAUCUUGCUGUCUGAGCUGCAGCUUCCUCAGCUGUAUUUUUUCCAGGUUGUCUGACAAAUGCUGUCCAGUAAAUAUAUUCUCUUGCCUGCUGUGAUGCAAAAAUUACUUCCCUGCUUGUCUCCCUAGAAAAUAUUUUUUCUAAGAGAGUGGUAGUUGCUAGGAUAGAGAAAGACUGCUGUAUUUUGAACAGAUUUUUUAUUAACUGUUUUAAUAGGUUUGAUGUUCCUUUGUUUCAGUCAAAGAAAUGCCUCUGCAGUGGGUUUGGAUGGCACAUCUCACCUGGAAACUGUUGCUAAGUGAAACUUACUUUUGUUGGCGAAUAAUUUUUGUUGGAGCAUCUAUCAGUAAGAAAAUGGGAAGCAGAAUCACAGACAAGGAAGCAACAGGGCUGGGAAUGGUGGGCUGUCUCGUUCAUAUUUGGAGAUGAAGUGCCAUCAAGAAGGUUCUUUCUUUUGCUGUCUGUCCCUGGUGCUCUCCAAUGGUGCCCCAGACUUGUUGCAGGUGGACAAAUAUCAAAAUCGAUGACUGAAUAUGGGAUCAAGCUUCAGUGGAGGGAAGACAGACUGUAUUAAUAUGGGUGCCAUGC
Long non-coding RNA from Zonotrichia albicollis (white-throated sparrow), 1924 nucleotides. RefSeq lists it as uncharacterized. The record is from RefSeq and is a predicted model, not a curated record. NCBI's taxonomy places the organism in Eukaryota, Metazoa, Chordata, Aves, Passeriformes, Passerellidae.